This is a long non-coding RNA of Amblyraja radiata (thorny skate), 238 nucleotides long. RefSeq lists it as uncharacterized. Lineage: Eukaryota; Metazoa; Chordata; Chondrichthyes; Rajiformes; Rajidae. The record is from RefSeq and is a predicted model, not a curated record. The transcript is spliced from 3 exons.
CCCCUCAACCUUCUAAACUCCAACGAGUACAGGCCCAGUUAGACACCACUGAGACUCUGUGAGAGGCAUCAAUGUGGAGUGUCACUGCUCUCUGCUUUAUAAUGCACACCAGAGAGUUAUGUUUCCAAAGGGCAAUUGCUGGCAGUUAACAAAAGUAAAAGGAAUGAGCCGUAACAGAGCAUGAAUCAACGUUAAAGGGCGGCACGGUGGCGCAGCAGUAGAGUUGCUGCCUUGCAGC